Molecule: ribosomal RNA, 253 nt
Filed under: uncultured bacterium
Lineage: Bacteria
Description: partial 16S ribosomal RNA
Rfam family: Bacterial small subunit ribosomal RNA
Source: RNAcentral
UACGUAGGGGGCAAGCGUUGUCCGGAUUUAUUGGGCGUAAAGAGCGUGUAGGCGGCCAGGUAGGUCUGCUGUGAAAACUCGAGGCUCAACCUCGAGAUGUCGGCGGAAACCAUUUGGCUAGAGUCCGGAAGAGGAAAGUGGAAUUCCUGGUGUAGCGGUGAAAUGCGCAGAUAUCAGGAAGAACACCCGUGGCUAAGGCGGCUCUCUAGUACGGUACUGACGCUGAGACGCGAAAGCGUGGGGAGCGAACAGG